RNAcentral lists this ribosomal RNA (301 nucleotides) under uncultured bacterium. RNAcentral's name for it is "partial 16S ribosomal RNA". It matches the Rfam family "Bacterial small subunit ribosomal RNA", at positions 509 to 807 of the family's 1533-position model. The record is from RNAcentral.
CAGUCGCCGCGGGAAUACGGAAGGGGCUAGCGUUGUUCGGAAUUACUGGGCGUAAAGCGCACGUAGGCGGCUUGGUAAGUUAGAGGUGAAAGCCUGGAGCUCAACUCCAGAAUUGCCUUUAAGACUGCCGAGCUAGCAGGUGAGAGAGGUAAGUGGAAUUCCGAGUGUAGAGGUGAAAUUCGUAGAUAUUCGGAAGAACACCAGUGGCGAAGGCGGCUUACUGGCUCAUACUGGACGCUGAGGUGCGAAAGCGUGGGGAGCAAGCAGGAUUAGAUACCCGGGUAGUCCCUGUUUCUUAUAC